AAGACAUUAGUAAAAUGCAAAUUACACCACCUUGUCAAGGUGAAGUUGUAGGUUAACAAGGUGAAGUUGUAGGUUAAAUCCCUGCAUGUCUUA
Molecule: transfer RNA, 93 nt
Filed under: Neolissochilus hexagonolepis (copper masheer)
Lineage: Eukaryota; Metazoa; Chordata; Actinopteri; Cypriniformes; Cyprinidae
Description: tRNA-Asp
Rfam family: tRNA
About the family: Transfer RNA (tRNA) molecules are approximately 80 nucleotides in length. Their secondary structure includes four short double-helical elements and three loops (D, anti-codon, and T loops).
Source: RNAcentral